RNAcentral lists this ribosomal RNA (468 nucleotides) under uncultured bacterium. Its description in RNAcentral is "partial 16S ribosomal RNA". It matches the Rfam family "Bacterial small subunit ribosomal RNA", at positions 28 to 507 of the family's 1533-position model. The record is from RNAcentral.
GACGAACGCUGGCGGCGCGCCUAACACAUGCAAGUCGAACGGAGCUGAGCGAAGCUUGCUUUUCUUAGCUUAGUGGCGAACGGGUGAGUAACGCGUGAGUAACCUGCCCUGGAGUGGGGGACAACAGUUGGAAACGACUGCUAAUACCGCAUAAGCCCACGAUCCGGCAUCGGAGUGAGGGAAAAGGAUUUAUUCGCUUCAGGAUGGACUCGCGUCCGAUUAGCUAGUGGGUGGGGUAACGGCCAACCAAGGCGAGGAAUGGUGGCCGGAAGGGGAGGUGGAACGGCCGGGUUGGGACUGAGGCACGGACCAGACUCGGAGGGGGGGGUGGAGUAGGGGAUAUUGCACGAUGAGGGAAACCGUGAUGCAGCGGCGCCGCGUGGAGGAAGAAGGUUUUUGGAUUGUAAACUCCUGUCGUUAGGGACGAUAGUGACGGUACCUAACAAGAAAGCACCGGCUAACUACGUG